CGGACCUCUCCCUCUCCGGCGUCUCGCGUCCUCGCCCCUCGUCGCUCGUACCGCUCGGGCACCCUGUCGGGAAGCUCGUCGGACACCCCGUGCGACCCCGUCCGGAGGUUGCACCGCGUCGACCAGCCGCACCUGCGAGACCCCGACCAGAGGUACCAGCACGUCCGGCGGGACCGCCGCGCGGCGGUGGCCCUGCGGACGCACGCCGAGCGCGUCGUGCACCUCGAGCAGCCGCCGGACGAGUCCCUCGACCUCGAGCGCCUCGACUACGCCGCCCUCCGGUGGUCCGCCGGCGACCUCGUCGAGCCGCCGCGCGACGCCGCCACGAUGCGCGAGCAGUGCCGCACGGUCCUGACGCCGAUGGACGCGGCGGACAACGACCCACAGGCCUACCGGCUGCUCGAGGCGCGGUGCGUCGUGCUCUAGCUGUACAAGUAGGCGGAGUAGGGCGAGUAGCGGGAGCAGCUGUUAAGAUGACGUCUAUCAGCGGCACAGUUCCGACUACUCCCCCACGAGUGACAUCAGUGUCUAUCAAGUUUAGCAGUGUAGUCCGAAGGUUUGUUUCCUCGAUGUCUUGUGACGCUAUAACCUCUUGUGGGUAAACAUCCAUUCGAGAAUGAAGAGACUUAUAGGAUUACGCGAAUUAGUACCUGAGUCUACACCUUUGAUUAACUGACUCCAAAGUACAGUUACAAUAUACGAAGUUCUUAAAGCCUAACGAAGUAACAUAGGUAUACCUACUAAAACUAUACUGAAAACAAUGUGUACAAUGAAAAAGUACUUAUUUAUAAGACAGUGGUGUAUCUUAAAUUGACAUCAUUUUAUCUUCAAUUAAUCGUGCAGUACUUUCUCGUGAUCGAUGACCUUCGUUAGUAUAUGAGGGAGGCAAGGUUUUAUCUACUGGGUUGAAAAUGAUUGACACAUGAUUUCAAUCAUGUUUCCACUCAGUAGAUAAAACCUUGCCUCCCUCAUACAUACUAUGAUGGAGACAUUUGUUUAUAUUCUGGCUUGUGACUCAAGAUAUGAACUCUUUAAGGAAAUCGUGUAUGAAUGAGGGAAUCAUUGGUGUACUUUGUGUUUUUUUGACCUAGUAAAAGAGUUAUAAAAAAAUAUGAAAAUCAUCACAGCUGCAAACAAUUUAGAGGUAAUCACUGUUACUAUCUAAUAGACACUCAGUCCUUUUCACCUGGACGUUCUUGUCUUAUAGCAACUGUAACUUCUUGAACACUUCGAAACAUGGGCAUACCUUCUCCGAACGCGCCCUAAGUGUUCCAAGCUAAAGACAGUCUAGAACCUACGAUGUCUCUUAAAAAGUCUCUUCUACUAUUAACCUACCCCUCCUAAACCCUCCCACAUGUUCCCGGUCAACGGACCACCUGAAUUAUAACGGUAGUUUUCUCGACUACUCGUGCGUCGUUACCAACUUCAGUUGUCACUUAACGUCGAACCUUUCGAAGUCGUACGGUUACACUAAUCCAAUAACCCCACCACGUAGGUACCCUUUCUUUCCUAAGAUCACAUACUUAAGUACGUUUUACCAAGGAACCUAGCAAUGGAUACGCUGUCUUGUUUUCCCGGCAACGAUGUGACCAGAUCCGCUAAGUUCUAUUAAUGUCCCAAUUGUCUCCCUUAACAAAUGGACGUAUUCGUGAAGUACAAGACCGAACAGGUGUCUCUGAACUUUGGUGUAUUACAGGAGAACCUAACAUUGUACUAGGGUUUCUAACGACUAAAACCUAGUCGAUCUCGUGACUCAAGUCUACAUCGUCUUCUCGCGUGCUCAUCCCAGCACCCUUGGUCACCAAUGUUUCGAGGCCUCAUACGUAGAGCUAAGAGUUCCUCAAAUGAGUUACUUCUGUCUACACAAGUCGAAACCGCAAAACCAAGACCACUAAUAAUCACCGGCUUUCUUAUGGUAUGAGCUGUUCGCUCCCCUAUGACAACCACUAGAACAUGCUCUACGGACCGUAUACACCUUCCUGGUUUCCAACGUACUAGUCUGAAGUUGAACUGUUCGUCGUUGAUGUCUCCAGUCUCAAUUCUAGACAUUGACAUGUGUGAUCUUUGUGUAGUCCUAGAGGUUUAUACGUGGACUUCUAGAGGUACGAGUCCAUUGCAUGUUAUAUUCUUGAGACUUGACUUCCACCAGAAGAAACACACACACACACACACGGUAUCUUGAGACUUGAGACUUGACUUCGUCUCUCUGCAUUCGUUGCUGUGUAUCAUUAGUCUUCGGUAAUCACGCGCAAAUAUCUAAAGAUUAUGAGCCUUAAGUAAUCACGAUCAACCUUUCUACCUUUCUAAGUAGAAUAUGAGCCUAAGUAAUCACGCGCAAAAUCGGUAACGGACCCGGCUGAGCCUAAGUUUUUGCUUUCGCGCGCAAAAUCGAUACGGACCCGCUGACGCUGAGCCUAAGUUUAACGAACGGCGCAGAGAAGAAAGAACGAGCGGGGGGCAGAGGGCUUAAGGGCUAGAUAGAGUGGAGCGAGAGGUGGCGUAGGAGAAGGAGGGAGGGCGGCCUAGGGACGAGAGCGCUAGCAACAAAUUAGCAACGAGGGCGCUGAAGCGAUGGCGCUGGUACCGGCCGUGGUGCCACGAAGGCGUCAGAGACGAGGGCGCGGCAUCGCGGCGGCGGCGGCGGCUGGACGCGAGGACGAGGAGGGCGCACGCGCAUGUGGGGCGGAACUACCGCUUGGGGCGCCGACGGUUCUCCGGUUUCGCAGGGCCUAGGCACGUGCUGCACGUCGGCGGCCGCUUCGCGCAAGCGCCACGGACGAGGCCCCCGUUCGAGGUACAGCACCAGGGGCAGUUGUAGUUCCCGUCGUCGUUCGAAGGCACAGGGUCGCCUCCGUUCCUAGGUUUCUGAGGCUGCACGGAGGUGGGAAGGCCCUAGUUCUUGGUCCAGCGGCUUAGAGGCCUCUCGCGCUGCGUUGGCUUCGGCGUCUAGUCGUACGCGCUUGACUAGCUCUUUCGAGCGGAGUGGUACCGAGCGGAGCUGUUCCGAGCGAGACGGAGGUUUCUUCUCCGGUUGGCAGCCGUCCUCUAGCUCGCGUCGUCUCGUCUCCGGGCCGCUUUCCACCUCGUCUACCGCCUGUGCCACGUCAAGUUGCUGGGGACCUAGGUAGUGAGGCUGCACUGGUUCAGGGGACUCCUCGACGAGUUUCGUUCUGUCGUGCGUACCGCAAUAGUUCGAGUGGAGGAGCUCUACCGAGCAGCUGCCCUGAAACGUAGUCUCCUUCGUUUCGUCUCCUUCGUCUCCUUGGUUAAGGAAAGAACUCAGGCACACCCACUCGGAAGCUAAUUCAAUCAGGAAGGAUUUGGUAAGUGUGUACUCAAAGUAAAUUAGAAACGUAGAGAUCCAAGACGUGAAUUAGUGGUUCUAAAGAUCACAAGAAAGUUAGGGAAAGUCAGUAAUCAUUAAAAUGUUCUCACAGUCGUCUCAGAGGUAGAUCGAUCCGUCGUUUUUGGAACAAUUCUACACAUGCCGUAUCAAUGUGAUGUAGGUGUGGACCAGGAUUCAUUCCCAAAUUCAUUUAUUUCCCGUAAAAGUUAUUUAGUUUCAUUUCGUCUACUCGGAUUUUUCCUUCGAGUACAUGACGUUAAGGCCGUGCUCUGUCUCGCAUUUUGCGUGAGCGGCGUUUUAGGUUUUGCGGGCAAACGAUGGGCCGAACAUCGUCCUUUUUUCCUCAUCUUAACUUGAACAGCUAUGUGUGUCAUUAGUACACUCGACGGAUCGCAGACCUCUGAUACGACUGGGAGGACAUUUUAAUUAGAACCGACUGAACCUAAGAAUCCGUAACCGCAGCACCACUCAAUUUCAACGUCAAAGAUUGCUCAUCGUAACCAACCACUUGAGAACACACAUACACACUCACUUCGAAACUCGAUUCGUUCAGGAACUACAUGGCUGAUAGUUCAGUAUGACAUUAGUUAAAACCUAUACUUACUCUUUUAACAACCAGACUUAAAACGUCUCGUAAACUCAUUAGAAAAGCAUAGAUAAAUAAGAACAUACGAAGACACCGAAGAAUUUCGUAAGACGACGAGAUCAGCCUUUUCACACAUGACUCCGUAGUCCUUCUUGUAACCUAGAGAAAGAUGCAAAAGUACACAACAUACAAGGAAGGAUUAUUGUUAAGAAAAGUACUUGUUUCUUCUAAUGACGACACGAACUUGAUAAGGUUUAGUGACAAUAAAAAGUCCUCUUCUUGUCUAUAUACAGGGGCAGAUCUUUUAAAAUAUGGUGUCGUUAAGUCUUAAAUAAACAGCGUAGUCCUUCCGCGGUUUUUCGUACAGAGGACUGGAGGACUUAAGACUACGUAUGUACGUAGUAACAACGGUUCACGAGUACAUAUGAACGACAGACUUAAAACGUUGAGGAUGUCUAAAGCAAAUCAUGUCAACGACAUAUACGGUCCGGUCGUUACCACGAAUGAAGUAAAUUAAUUGUAUAAGUAACCGUACUUAGGGGACUCAAUUCCCUUAAUGUUACGUAGUAUGGAGUAGACUUCGAAAUAUUUCUAUCCUGAAGUCACUCUCUGUUGUGUUAUAAUAGGUACUUCGAAGAUAAUUUAAAAUCAUAUAAAAGUUCAAGUAUUCGAUCGCCGAAGAUGUUUACUACUUAGCUACUAGACGUACUGUUUCUUUUACCUUCUAGGAUUAUAAUAUAAACAUAUGACAAUCGGUAUAGUUACAACUAACGUUAAAGUAAUCACUGCUCCUAUAUAACAAGUACUGAGACCUUGUCGUCCGGACGUUCUUGUCUUAUGUCUUUUGGGAGCUGUUGUUUCUUAAUCACCUUGAAACGUACGUGUGUCCUCUUCUAAUGGGUCCUAAGUGUCACAAGUUAAUGAAAGUCUAGCACCUACGAUGUCUAUUAAAGACUCUCUUCUCUAUAGAACCUAGACCACCUAAACGAUGUCGUAUGUUCCCAGUCAACGGGGUACCUGAACACCAACCAUAGUUCUCUAAGCUAGUGGCACGUUACAAUAGACUAAAGUCGUUACUUGACGUCGAACGAUCCGAAGCCGUAUGUUUACAUUAUUCCAAUGAUCCCACCACGUAGGUACCUCUUCUUUCCUAAGACCAGAUGUUCAAGUACGUGUUACCACGGAACCUGGUAGUGUAUAAACUGUCUUAUUUUCCCGGUAAUGAUCUGACCAGAUUCUCUGAGUUUUAUUAGUUUCCGAUUUUGGGACUCAGGUCUGCAUUGUCUUCUCGUAUGUACGUCCCACCACCCGUGAUCACCAAUGUAUCGGGGCCUCAUACGUGGAGCUCCCCAAAUGAGAGACUUCUGCCUACACAAGUCGAAGCCGUAGAACCAAGACCUCUGGUAAUCGCCUGCUUUCUUGUGGUAUGAGCUGUUGGCUCCCCUAUGGCAGCCGCUAGAACAUGCUCUACGGACCGCAUACACCUUCCUGUCUUCCGACGUACUCGAGCAUCUACCUAGUGAUCCCGUACCUAUGCUGUAGCGGCUCCAUCGCUACAUGCGAGUCCACCGCGACGAGACGCGAGUCCUUCUAGGUCACCUAGCGGGGCGGUACUGCCUACAACGACGUUACGACUCGAGACUUUCGUACUCGAAUGGUUGCCUCGGAUUCCUCGGAAGGCGCGACUCACUUCCCCCACGACCACUCCUAUGUAUGUAUUUGGCUAGUUCGGCCUGUUAUCUGUAUUGGUAUUGCUCAAGUCGGUGUCACGACUGAUCUCAAGCGAAUUAGUAUCUGGUCCUCCAAACUACGCUGCCUUUGACAAUUUACGGUUUAUACCAACCUUAUAAAAAAACCUAAUUAAAUUUAACGAACGGUGUAUACAGGUAUACCAACCUUAACCUUGCACUCCUUCCUAGUACCGGAAAAAUAACAAGUUUCGCUGCACGUCUAAAGACUACAAUUCUAGUCACCUCUAUUUGAACAAAGACACCAUGUCCUGACUAAUAGGUAGUCGAUGUACUUUAAUAUUUACUUUAUACA
Molecule: ribosomal RNA, 5975 nt
Filed under: Triticum aestivum (bread wheat)
Lineage: Eukaryota; Viridiplantae; Streptophyta; Magnoliopsida; Poales; Poaceae
Description: partial small subunit ribosomal RNA
Source: RNAcentral